Molecule: long non-coding RNA, 581 nt
Organism: Gossypium raimondii (Peruvian cotton)
Lineage: Eukaryota; Viridiplantae; Streptophyta; Magnoliopsida; Malvales; Malvaceae
Exons: 2
Source: RefSeq, a predicted model, not a curated record
UUCAAAAUAGCCCAAUUAACAGGAGCGCGCGGAUCCCCCAUGGAGCGGGUUGGGUCGCGCACGGAUCUGGGUCAAUACGGCACCGUUUUGGAGCCACUGAUCAGACUCCAAACGGCGCCGUUUCGUACAUCAUGUAAGGGUCAAAAGUAAAACCCUAAAUUGGCAGCCACAUCUUCAUUUUUCAAAACGAAAGUAAAAAAAUAAACAUAUAAAAAAAAACACCCAAACGCCCUCCCCUCUCAGCGCCGCUUCAACCAGCCGAAGUUCUGCCCAACCCCGAUUCGAGCGGAGUGAACGGAGCUUCCACGGCGUCUUAGUGAAGGUACGGUCGUACGGGGCCAGCUGGGCGUGGAGGCGGUGGCGCACAUGCGAGGGCAGAGCUUGAUUGCGGCGCUGGAGCUGCUAGGGUUUCUGCUUCUAAUUUUGUGUUGGGCCACUCCGUGAUUGGGCUAGGGGCAAAUUAGGUUUGGGCCUUAGUGGGUAGCACUUAAGCAUUUGGGCCACUGGGAUUUAGGCCUGCUAUUGUAAAAAAAACUGAACAUUUUAUUUAUUUUAUGUAUAUAUAUAUUUUUUGGUUUUAA